Molecule: ribosomal RNA, 266 nt
Filed under: uncultured bacterium
Lineage: Bacteria
Description: partial 16S ribosomal RNA
Rfam family: Bacterial small subunit ribosomal RNA
Source: RNAcentral
CCUACGGGACGCAGCAGUGGGGAAUAUUGCACAAUGGGGGGAACCCUGAUGCAGCGACGCCGCGUGAGUGAAGAAGUAUUUCGGUAUGUAAAGCUCUAUCAGCAGGGAAGAAAAUGACGGAACCUGACUAAGAAGCCCCGGCUAACUACGUGCCAGCAGCCGCGGUAAUACGUAGGGGGCAAGCGUUAUCCGGAUUUACUGGGUGUAAAGGGAGCGUAGACGGCAGAGCAAGCCUGAAGUGAAAGCCCGCGGCCCAACUGCGGCCC